RNAcentral lists this transfer RNA (68 nucleotides) under Caerulea coeligena. Its description in RNAcentral is "tRNA-Trp". Lineage: Eukaryota; Metazoa; Arthropoda; Insecta; Lepidoptera; Lycaenidae. The record is from RNAcentral.
AAGGUUUUAAGUUAAUAUAAACUAAUAAUUUUCAAAAUUAUUUAUAAAAAAAAAUUUUUUAAGCCUUA